RNAcentral lists this ribosomal RNA (491 nucleotides) under uncultured bacterium. Its description in RNAcentral is "partial 16S ribosomal RNA". It matches the Rfam family "Bacterial small subunit ribosomal RNA", at positions 29 to 506 of the family's 1533-position model. The record is from RNAcentral.
AGUGAACGCUGGCGGUAGGCCUAACACAUGCAAGUCGAACGGCAGCACAGUAAGAGCUUGCUCUUACGGGUGGCGAGUGGCGGACGGGUGAGGAAUACAUCGGAAUCUACUUUUUCGUGGGGGAUAACGUAGGGAAACUUACGCUAAUACCGCAUACGACCUACGGGUGAAAGCAGGGGAUCUUCGGACCUUGCGCGAUUGAAUGAGCCGAUGUCGGAUUAGCUAGUUGGCGGGGUAAAGGCCCACCAAGGCGACGAUCCGUAGCUGGUCUGAGAGGAUGAUCAGCCACAGUGGAACUGAGAGACGGUCCAGACUCCUACGGGAGGCAGCAGUGGGGAAUAUUGGACAAUGGGCGCAAGCCUGAUCCAGCCAUACCGCGUGGGUGAAGAAGGCCUUCGGGUGGGAAAGCCCUUUUGUUGGGAAAGAAAAGCAGCAGGUUAAUACCCCGCUGUUCUGACGGUACCCAAAGAAUAAGCACCGGCUAACUGCGU